GACCUCUAGCACCUCUGCAUGAGUCUUCUGGUAAGUCUACCUCUCCUGCUCCUUUUGUACAGCAACUUGCUUCUUCUAUUCCUCUACCAACCCCUCUAUACACCCCAUCUGAAACCCCUCCUUCAAUGACUAGAACAUCUCAACCACUCCCAAAAUUCAAUCUCAUCACUACCUCAUUACCCAUAUCUGAAGCUGAACAAAUGAAUGAAACCACCUCCUCAUCCUCAGAC
This 230-nucleotide long non-coding RNA is filed under the name Lathyrus oleraceus (garden pea). RNAcentral's name for it is "Pisum sativum (pea) long non-coding RNA (PSAT_LNC014597)". The record is from RNAcentral. Lineage: Eukaryota; Viridiplantae; Streptophyta; Magnoliopsida; Fabales; Fabaceae.